CGGCGGUGGGUUCAAUUAACCUGGACUCAUCUUUAACAUGUACUUUCGUUUUUGUUACAUCUACAUAGAGCGGUCACAUCGCAAGGAGAAAGAUACUGCGCGAGCGAGCGAGAGAGUUUUAGAGAGCGAAGAUCAUAGACAUGGGGUCGCCAUGCAAGGAUGAUAGGGAGGAAGUCAUACAGGCAUGGUACAUGGAUGAUAGUGACGAAGACCAGAGACUUCCCCAUCACCGGGAACCCAAGGAAUUUGUGUCCCUGGAACAACUUGCUGAACUUGGAGUGCUCAGCUGGCGGUUAGACGCUGAUAAUUAUGAAACAGAUGAGAAAUUGAAGAAAA
Camellia sinensis is the source of this 336-nucleotide non-coding RNA. Lineage: Eukaryota; Viridiplantae; Streptophyta; Magnoliopsida; Ericales; Theaceae. The record is from RefSeq and is a predicted model, not a curated record.